RNAcentral lists this ribosomal RNA (788 nucleotides) under uncultured bacterium. RNAcentral's name for it is "bacterial SSU rRNA". It matches the Rfam family "Bacterial small subunit ribosomal RNA", at positions 8 to 794 of the family's 1533-position model. The record is from RNAcentral.
AGAGUUUGAUCAUGGCUCAGGAUGAACGCUAGCGGCAGGCCUAAUACAUGCAAGUCGAGGGGCAGCACGGUAGCAAUACUGGUGGCGACCGGCGCACGGGUGCGUAACACGUAUACAAUCUGCCUUUAACUGGGGCAUAACCUUUCGAAAGAGAGACUAAUACCCCAUAAUAGUAGAGAAGGCAUCUUCUUUAUUUGAAAGCUCCGGCGGUUAAAGAUGAGUAUGCGGAUGAUUAGCUAGAUGGUGAGGUAACGGCUCACCAUGGCGACGAUCAAUAGGGGAUCUGAGAGGACUACCCCCCACACUGGUACUGAGACACGGACCAGACUCCUACGGGAGGCAGCAGUAAGGAAUAUUGGACAAUGCUCGCAAGAGUGAUCCAGCCAUGCCGCGUGCAGGAAGACGGCCCUAUGGGUUGUAAACUGCUUUUGAACUAGAGAAAACCCCCCUUCGUGAAGGGGGCUGAUAGUAUAGUUAGAAUAAGCAUCGGCUAACUUCGUGCCAGCAGCCGCGGUAAGACGAAGGAUGCAAGCGUUAUCCGGAUUCAUUGGGUUUAAAGGGAGCGUAGGUGGAUUUGUAAGUCAGUGGUGAAAGCCGGCAGCUUAACUGUCGAACUGCCAUUGAUACUGCGGAUCUUGAGUAUGGUUGCUGUGGGCGGAAUAUGACAUGUAGAGGUGAAAUUCAUAGAGAUGUCAUAGAACACCGAUUGCGAAGGCAGCUCACAAAGCCAUUACUGACACUGAGGCUCGAAAGUGCGGGGAUCAAACAGGAUUAGAUACCCCGGUAGU